GACGAACGCUGGCGGCGUGCUUAACACAUGCAAGUCGAACGGAAAGGCCCUGCUUUUGUGGGGUGCUCGAGUGGCGAACGGGUGAGUAACACGUGAGUAACCUGCCCUUGACUUUGGGAUAACUUCAGGAAACUGGGGCUAAUACCGGAUAGGAGCUCCUGCUGCAUGGUGGGGGUUGGAAAGUUUCGGCGGUUGGGGAUGGACUCGCGGCUUAUCAGCUUGUUGGUGGGGUAGUGGCUUACCAAGGCUUUGACGGGUAGCCGGCCUGAGAGGGUGACCGGCGACAUUGGGACUGAGAGACGGAGCAGACUCCUACGGGAGGCAGCAGUGGGGAAUAUUGCACAAUGGGCGGAAGCCUGAUGCAGCGACGCCGCGUGCGGGAUGACGGCCUUCGGGUUGUAAACCGCUUUCGCCUGUGACGAAGCGUGAGUGACGGUAAUGGGUAAAGAAGCACCGGCUAACUACGUG
Molecule: ribosomal RNA, 468 nt
Filed under: uncultured bacterium
Lineage: Bacteria
Description: partial 16S ribosomal RNA
Rfam family: Bacterial small subunit ribosomal RNA
Source: RNAcentral